RNAcentral lists this ribosomal RNA (170 nucleotides) under Escherichia coli. Its description in RNAcentral is "partial 16S ribosomal RNA". It matches the Rfam family "Bacterial small subunit ribosomal RNA", at positions 1 to 164 of the family's 1533-position model. Lineage: Bacteria; Pseudomonadati; Pseudomonadota; Gammaproteobacteria; Enterobacterales; Enterobacteriaceae. The record is from RNAcentral.
AAAUUGAAGAGUUUGAUCAUGGCUCAGAUUGAACGCUGGCGGCAGGCCUAACACAUGCAAGUCGAACGGUAACAGGAAGAAGCUUGCUUCUUCGCUGACGAGUGGCGGACGGGUGAGUAAUGUCUGGGAAACUGCCUGAUGGAGGGGGAUAACUACUGGAAACGGUAGCU